Long non-coding RNA from Triticum dicoccoides, 1728 nucleotides. RefSeq lists it as uncharacterized. The transcript is spliced from 4 exons. NCBI's taxonomy places the organism in Eukaryota, Viridiplantae, Streptophyta, Magnoliopsida, Poales, Poaceae. The record is from RefSeq and is a predicted model, not a curated record.
GUCCAUCCGGCCGCCCCAACCCCAAGAUUCCCCGCGAAUUACUCCGCCUCAACGACGCGCCCUAGCCGAACCAGCGCCACAGGGUCGCAGGCGGAGAGGGCGAGGCUGAGUCGCGAACGGCGGCGGGGCGCGAUCUGGCAGCGCUGCGACCGGGCGUGAUCUGGAAAAUCGGUGGGACGUCGCCGUGCGGUGCUGGUGGUGGUGUUGUCGAUGUCGGGGAUGGCACUCCGCGGCCCGGAUGCUGCGUUCGUUCUUCCCAUGCACUUCCCUUCUCCCUCGGCUUCUUGUACGCCUGAUUCGUCCUCGACCGCCUGGUAUACAAGGAGCAAAUGAUGUUUCAGUGAUACAAAAGGGUUGAUAUUGGUUCUGGUAUGUUCAUAGGUUUAUGCGGUACAUAUAUACUGGCAUAAUACUUGCUGAAGCACCUAUCUAGCUUCCUUGCCUUGCUAUUCUAGCACCAGCCUCGCUGCCGUGGAGGUUUGCUCUGAUUUGCAUGCGUUGUUGUUUCAUUUAUGCUUGAUUUGCUUAUGGAAAAUGCAAUUUGAUGCUUGCAUGAUUGGUAGAUGAAAUCCUGAUGUAGAAACACAUAACUGUUUUUCAUGGGUUCACAUAUGUGACAAUUAGCGUUAGUUUGCUCUCGGAUAGGAAUUCUCAGCCUUUGGUUUAGGUAUAUCUUAUAUAAUUGUUCUUUUCCUAUUAAUGGUGAUAUUUGGAUGAGUUCUUCUUUGUAAUUGGUUGCAUAAUAUGGUUGUAUAGAUCAUUAUGAAGUAAAUAACUUUUGGGGAAUUCUCUGCUUUACCUAUGAAGAGGUGGGAUCCAGAGAUGAAAGCUAGCUUCAAUUGGCAUGUAGUAAGACCAAAUGGCAGUUUGGACCAUGAGCUUGCGGAUGCUAAAGAAAUUCUUAGGUGCGUACUCUGAAAUAGAAGCAUUCAAGAAGUUCACUAGGCCAGAAUGCUUCCAAGCCGGUCUUGAUGAUACCUCUUGUGAGAUGCCAAAGUUGAGUCAGGAAUUUUCAGUUGCUUGGAUGGGUAAUUAAUACUAAAAAUAAUCAAUAAGGGAGAUAGUUCAUAGUUCAUAGACUCAUAGAAUCUGCAAGUUAAAGGCUGCAAAUUGCUUGAUAUCUCUUAUGCGGAGCGUACUCUCAUCAAUACUUUAAUUGUUUCUUGAUCCACCUGCUGUUUUAUGGCAUUAAUCUUAGCAUAUUGGACUUCAUACUGUUUCAUGACUGAAAAGUACUGAUCUGUUUAGCACCCUGAUUUAUAUACCCCGCUCACAAAACUGCAGGAAUCGGACAGAUGCUGAUGAACUUCUGUAGAGGGACAGCAGAUGCUUGUGGAUGACUUCCUGCUUGAGGGCCACAAUCUCCCCGGCUAAAUCUAUGAUGGACUACAGAACUGCAAGGUCACGUCUAAGAACACAGGCAUAAUUCAAGAUGCAGAUGAGCAUUCUAGAAAGAGAACAAACGAAAGCUACAAUGCAGAACAGGUUGGGUGGUUUAAGGUGGUGUUGCUGUGGGACAUUGCAACUGCUCCAGAUCGAUUCAAGCUUCAUUUGAAUGUUUUAGUUCAUCUAUGCUUUUGAUUAUAUUUAGAAUAAUGGGGUUAUACUUAUUCCUGAAGGCCUUGUGGGGAGUAUUCUGAAUUGCAUUCAUUGCUCCAAGCACCUGUUUAUAUCUCUUACAAGACGAGGAGAUUUAUACCUGUUUGCUCAAGUAUUUUCACGAAACUA